This 230-nucleotide non-coding RNA is filed under the name Companilactobacillus ginsenosidimutans. RNAcentral describes it as "Lactobacillus ginsenosidimutans T-box sequence". It matches the Rfam family "T-box leader". Rfam says of the family: Uncharged tRNA acts as the effector for transcription antitermination of genes in the T-box leader family. T-boxes are found upstream of many aminoacyl-tRNA synthetase genes and some amino acid biosynthetic genes usually in Gram-positive bacteria. The anticodon of a specific tRNA base pairs to a specifier sequence within the T-box motif, and the NCCA acceptor tail of the tRNA base pairs to a conserved bulge in the T-box antiterminator hairpin. The record is from RNAcentral. Lineage: Bacteria; Bacillati; Bacillota; Bacilli; Lactobacillales; Lactobacillaceae.
AUAAAGGUCAUGAAUAGGAAAGUAGAAAUUAGUCAAUCCCAAAGAGAAUUUCGGAUGCUGAAAACGAAAUGGAAACUGUUUUCGAAAACACACCUAUGAAUAACUUCAAAGUUGAACUCAGUAGGCUUUGACGAAAUGGUUCGUUAUCCCAGUUGACACAGCCAACAUGAGGUUUGAUACCGCAAGGAUCAAACAAAGGUGAGGUGGAACCACGAUAAUUCGUCCUCUUA